CUCCUACGGGAGGCAGCAGUGGGGAAUCUUGCGCAAUGGGCGAAAGCCUGACGCAGCAACGCCGCGUGAGCGAAGAAGACCUUCGGGUUGUAAAGUUCUUUUCUGAAGGACGAGGAAGGACGGUACUUCAGGAAUAAGGAUCGGCUAACUACGUGCCAGCAGCCGCGGUAAUACGUAGGAUCCGAGCGUUAUCCGGAAUUAUUGGGCGUAAAGAGCUCGUAGGCGGUUUGUCGCGUCUGCCGUGAAAGUCCGGGGCUCAACUCCGGAUCUGCGGUGGGUACGGGCAGACUAGAGUGAUGUAGGGGAGACUGGAAUUCCUGGUGUAGCGGUGAAAUGCGCAGAUAUCAGGAGGAACACCGAUGGCGAAGGCAGGUCUCUGGGCAUUAACUGACGCUGAGGAGCGAAAGCAUGGGGAGCGAACAGGAUUAGAUACCCUGGUAGUCCAUGCCGUAAACGUUGGGCACUAGGUGUGGGGGACAUUCCACGUUUUCCGCGCCGUAGCUAACGCAUUAAGUGCCCCGCCUGGGGAGUACGGCCGCAAGGCUAAAACUCAAAGGAAUUGACGG
RNAcentral lists this ribosomal RNA (566 nucleotides) under uncultured bacterium. RNAcentral's name for it is "bacterial SSU rRNA". It matches the Rfam family "Bacterial small subunit ribosomal RNA", at positions 336 to 916 of the family's 1533-position model. The record is from RNAcentral.